UACGGAGGGUGCAAGCGUUGUCCGGAUUUAUUGGGUUUAAAGGGCGCGUAGGCGGCUUGGCAAGUCAAAGGUGAAAUCCCUCGGCCUAACCGAGGAACUGCCUUUGAUACUGCUUCGCUUGAGGCCGGGAGAGGGUAGCGGAAUUCCCAGUGUAGCGGUGAAAUGCGUAGAUAUUGGGAGGAACACCAGUGGCGAAGGCGGCUACCUGGACCGGUUCUGACGCUGAUGCGCGAAAGCGUGGGGAGCAAACAGG
RNAcentral lists this ribosomal RNA (253 nucleotides) under uncultured bacterium. Its description in RNAcentral is "partial 16S ribosomal RNA". It matches the Rfam family "Bacterial small subunit ribosomal RNA", at positions 524 to 776 of the family's 1533-position model. The record is from RNAcentral.